AUGGCUGGAUUCGCUGAUGCACUGAGGCCGGAUAAGUUUACCGGUGUGCACUUUAAGAGGUGGCAGGUGAAGACCACGCUCUGGCUUACUGCUCUGAAAAUUUUCCACGCUAGUGUUGGUGCUCCAGAGGGAAUGACCGACGAAGAUCAGAGAAAAUUCCAGGAAGCCAAUACUAUGUUUGUGGGAUGCAUUCUGAGUGUUCUUGCUGUCCGUCUGUGUGAUGUGUACAUGCACAUAAACGACGGAAAAAUUCUGUGGGAUGCACUGAAUGCAAAAUUCGGUGCAAUAGAUGCAGGCAGUGAACUAUACAUCAUGGAGAGUUUUCAUGACUACAAGAUGGUGAAUAACCGUUCUGUGGUUGAACAAGCUCAUGAGAUACAAUGCAUUGUGAAGGAACUUGAACUCCUUAAAUGUGUUCUACCCGACAAAUUCGUGGCUGGGUGCAUGAUUGCAAAGUUGCCUCCUUCAUGGAGGAAUUUCGCCACAACUCUGAAGCAUAAGAGACAGGAGAUAUCAAUUGAAAAUCUGAUUGCAUCUCUUGAUGUUGAAGAAAAAGCUCGGGCUAAAGAUACCACUGAAAAAGGAGGUGAGGUUCAGCCUACUGCUAACAUGGUGCAGAUGUACCCACAGAACAAGAACAAAGGGAAGAACAAACCUGUUUCCAACAAGCCUACCAAGACUACUACCUUCAAGAAGAAGAAGUUCAACAAGGCUGAGCUAGAGUGCUACGUCGCAAGGGAUUCUUCCGUCCUAAUGGGGAAUGGGUCACAUGCUUCUGUUCGUGGCAUUGGCACGGUGGAUCUGAAGUUUACUUCGGGAAAGAUCGUGCAACUAAGGAACGUGCAGCAUGUCCCUACUAUGAACAAGAAUCUAGUUAGCGGCUCCCUUCUAUGUUGA
RNAcentral lists this ribosomal RNA (897 nucleotides) under Triticum aestivum (bread wheat). RNAcentral's name for it is "partial small subunit ribosomal RNA". Lineage: Eukaryota; Viridiplantae; Streptophyta; Magnoliopsida; Poales; Poaceae. The record is from RNAcentral.